This 469-nucleotide ribosomal RNA is filed under the name uncultured bacterium. Its description in RNAcentral is "partial 16S ribosomal RNA". It matches the Rfam family "Bacterial small subunit ribosomal RNA", at positions 28 to 507 of the family's 1533-position model. The record is from RNAcentral.
GACGAACGCUGGCGGCGUGCUUAACACAUGCAAGUCGAACGGAAAGGCCCUGCUUUUUGUGGGGUGCUCGAGUGGCGAACGGGUGAGUAACACGUGAGUAACCUGCCCUUGACUUUGGGAUAACUUCAGGAAACUGGGGCUAAUACCGGAUAGGAGCUCCUGCUGCAUGGUGGGGGUUGGAAAGUUUCGGCGGUUGGGGAUGGACUCGCGGCUUAUCAGCUUGUUGGUGGGGUAGUGGCUUACCAAGGCUUUGACGGGUAGCCGGCCUGAGAGGGUGACCGGCCACAUUGGGACUGAGAUACGGCCCAGACUCCUACGGGAGGCAGCAGUGGGGAAUAUUGCACAAUGGGCGGAAGCCUGAUGCAGCAACGCCGCGUGCGGGAUGACGGCCUUCGGGUUGUAAACCGCUUUCGCCUGUGACGAAGCGUGAGUGACGGUAAUGGGUAAAGAAGCACCGGCUAACUACGUG